This 694-nucleotide long non-coding RNA is filed under the name Olea europaea subsp. europaea. Lineage: Eukaryota; Viridiplantae; Streptophyta; Magnoliopsida; Lamiales; Oleaceae. The record is from RNAcentral.
AAAAAAUAUGCAUUUUCAUAAGCAUUCAAAAUAAAGUACAGCUCAUCUUCAAGCACAAACAAGAUAUCCAUAAAGUUUAACAAAUUCAUCACAAAUCCAAAAAAUGUCCUAAGAAGAGCUAGGGGGAGGGAGGUCUUCGUGGGGAGCGACAUCAUCUUCAUCAGCAGGAGAAAUCUGAACCCCUGUUGCUUCUGACAAACGCUGAAGCUCUUCCUUCUGCUCUUCCACAGAUCCUCAAGGAAACCCAAGUCGAACCCUGGUCUCUCUCUGCAAAUGUGUUUUACUACUUCCUCCAGAGCAACGACGUGAGCAUCCUGACCAAGAGCGUCAAACUCCAAGGACGACCUCCAAGUCUCCAUUGCCCUUGCAACCCUAGAUUUAGCCUCCUCAGCUCUACGCAUCGCCUCUCUUGCUCUCUUAUUGCCUCCCGUACCUUCUCCACAGCCUCCUCAGUCCAAACUCUCUCUUCCUCAAUCCUCUUCUUCUCAGCCUCAGCCCUACGACUGGCCUUCUCCCUCACAGCUCUGAUCUCCCCCAUCCACUUCUCCUCCAUCUCCAGCCUCGAGUUCAGCUCAAACCUCAUCGUGUUAAGCUUCUCCUCGUAUUUUUUUUCUUUUAUUGCAAAUUGAGCUCUCUCAGCCUCCAUGCUGUUGUACAAAUUCAAGGCCUGACCCUUGGCCUCCAUCAGUUUGUC